Long non-coding RNA from Astatotilapia calliptera (eastern happy), 1060 nucleotides. The record is from Ensembl. Lineage: Eukaryota; Metazoa; Chordata; Actinopteri; Cichliformes; Cichlidae.
AUAAUUUCUAGGACCAUGAAGUUCUCACUUUUCCGAGUUAUCCACAUCGCUGACUUUUGCUAAUUAGCUAGUUAGCAGUCACAGCUGUGUAAUACCCAGAGAGACACAGACAGCUAACUAUAAUAUUUAUGAAAACUGGUUCAGCCACUGAAGGGCAAAACUGAUGGUAUCACAGUAAAAAUUAUUUUAACAUUUACUAAAAUGGAAAGCUUAAGUCAUGUUAAACCUAAAUAACAAUUAUUUUAAAAAAUGAGUCAGCAAAAUAUUCCUGACUUGUCUGGAGACAGCUGAAACCAGUUAACAAAUAAAUUAACAAUUCUUUCUAAAUAAAAACGCGGAGUCUUUUGAAAAACAUUAUUUUAACUAGAAAAAUUUGCAUUUCCUGCGAAAAUGCAGUGUGGAUGCCUUAACGGCUGAAGAUAUCUGCUGAAAAAAGCUGAAAAAGUUGAAACAAAAAAAAAAAAAAGAUGCCCUGAGCAGGUUUCGAACCUGGCCCUCCUGAUCAAAGGGCAGCUAUUUAGCUCACUGAGCCAAACACUUUCUCACAAAGAAAAGGUGGAGAGAUUGACAAUUGUGCUAGCAGAAUUUGGGCAAAAAAAAGGGGUGAAAAUUCUGCUGAAAAGAGUUCCAUCAGCAGAAUUUCUGCUGAAAAGAGGUGAAUGAGCAGAAUUCUGCUGAAAAGAGUUUUUUUCUGAAAACAGCAGAAAAAACUGAAAAUUUUGCUGAAAAGAGUUGAAUGAGCAGAAUUCUGCUGAAAAGAGGUUUUUGCUGAAAAAGAGCUGAAAAAGUUUGGAUUUGUGCUGAAAAGGGGUUAAAAAAACUGAAAAUUUUGCUGAAAAGGGGUGAAAAAGAUGAAAUUUGUGUUGAAAAGAGUUUAAAAAAAGUUUAACUGUUAAGUGAAAGAAAUGUUGCCAUAAGCUGGAUUUGAACCCAGGCCUCCCAGUCUGAGAACGGAUGCUUAUCUCACUGAGCUAAAACACAGCUCAGCCCAUCAUGCAAAAUCAGUGACCACAUUGAUAAUGUGUUCCAUUCAUUUCAAUGGUCAAAAGUCAUAACACAC